CAGAAAAUAGUUUAAUAAAAAUAUUAACUUUGGGAGUUAAUGAUAAAAUAUUUAUUUUUUUUCUGA
RNAcentral lists this transfer RNA (66 nucleotides) under Megabeleses sp. RNAcentral's name for it is "tRNA-Pro". The record is from RNAcentral. Lineage: Eukaryota; Metazoa; Arthropoda; Insecta; Hymenoptera; Tenthredinidae.